GAUUAAGCCAUGCAUGUCUAAGUAUAAGCAAUUAUACAGCGAAACUGCGAAUGGCUCAUUAUAUAAGUUAUCGUUUAUUUGAUAGUACCUUACUACAUGGAUAACCGUGGUAAUUCUAGAGCUAAUACAUGCUAAAAAUCCCAACUUCGGAAGGGAUGUAUUUAUUAGAUUAAAAACCAAUGCCCUUCGGGGCUGACAGGUGAUUCAUAAUAACUUCUCGAAUCGCAUGGCCUUGCGCCGGCGAUGGUUCAUUCAAAUUUCUUCCCUAUCAACUUUCGAUGUUUGGGUAGUGGCCAAACAUGGUGGCAACGGGUAACGGAGGGUUAGGGCUCGACCCCGGAGAAGGAGCCUGAGAAACGGCUACUACAUCCAAGGAAGGCAGCAGGCGCGCAAAUUACCCAAUGCUGACUCAGCGAGGUAGUGACAAUAAAUACUGAUACAGGGCUCUUUUGGGUCUUGUAAUCGGAAUGAGUACAAUUUAAAUCCCUUAACGAGGAACAAUUGGAGGGCAAGUCUGGUGCCAGCAGCCGCGGUAAUUCCAGCUCCAAUAGCGUAUAUUAAAGUUGUUGUGGUUAAAAAGCUCGUAGUUGAACCUUGGGCCUGGCUGGCCGGUCCGCCUCACCGCGUGUACUGGUCCGGCCGGGCCUUUCCCUCUGUGGAACCCCAUGCCCUUAACUGGGUGUGGCGGGGAAACAGGACUUUUACUUUGAAAAAAUUAGAGUGCUCCAGGCAGGCCUAUGCUCGAAUACAUUAGCAUGGAAUAAUAGAAUAGGACGUGUGGUUCUAUUUUGUUGGUUUCUAGGACCGCCGUAAUGAUUAAUAGGGACAGUCGGGGGCAUCAGUAUUCAAUUGUCAGAGGUGAAAUUCUUGGAUUUAUUGAAGACUAACUACUGCGAAAGCAUUUGCCAAGGAUGUUUUCAUUAAUCAGGAACGAAAGUUAGGGGAUCGAAGACGAUCAGAUACCGUCGUAGUCUUAACCAUAAACUAUGCCGACUAGGGAUCGGGCGAUGUUACUAUUUGACUCGCUCGGCACCUUACGAGAAAUCAAAGUGCUUGGGCUCCAGGGGGAGUAUG
Molecule: ribosomal RNA, 1074 nt
Filed under: Khaleijomyces umikazeanus
Lineage: Eukaryota; Fungi; Ascomycota; Sordariomycetes; Torpedosporales; Juncigenaceae
Description: SSU rRNA
Rfam family: Eukaryotic small subunit ribosomal RNA
Source: RNAcentral